GGCCCAGAGGCGCAGACAUGAGGCGGAUCGCCGGCUUCUUAGAGGGACUAUCGGCUCAAGCCGAUGGAAGUUUGAGGCAAUAACAGGUCUGUGAUGCCCUUAGAUGUUCUGGGCCGCACGCGCGCUACACUGACAGAGCCAACGAGUUCAUUUCCUUGGCCGGAAGGGUUGGGUAAUCUUGUUAAACUCUGUCGUGGUGGGG
Molecule: ribosomal RNA, 202 nt
Filed under: fungal sp.
Lineage: Eukaryota; Fungi
Description: partial small subunit ribosomal RNA
Rfam family: Eukaryotic small subunit ribosomal RNA
Source: RNAcentral